Neofelis nebulosa (Clouded leopard) is the source of this 11307-nucleotide long non-coding RNA. RefSeq lists it as uncharacterized. NCBI's taxonomy places the organism in Eukaryota, Metazoa, Chordata, Mammalia, Carnivora, Felidae. The record is from RefSeq and is a predicted model, not a curated record. The transcript is spliced from 3 exons.
UUUGCCCAUAAUAAAGUCAUCAGUAUGUUUGUGGCUGUAACCGGGCCAGUCAUUUCUCGGCUUCCCACCCACGCACCUUGGUGCCGCGGAUCUGCAGGUAUCCCUGGUCGCUCGCUGCGUGGACUGGCUCAGAGAUGCAGGGGGGAGUGGAGAUCAUGGCAAGGAGCAGCGGUCCGCGCGCCCCGGGCCCGGGACCUGCCUGCCUGGGGUCAGCGCCACGCGCCUGAGCUUCCGCCGCGACACAGGCUGCCCAGGUUUUUUUCCAAGGGCAUCUGGAAGAGACUCGGGGAGGGUCCCGACGAACCACGUGGUGAUCCCUGGAGGCCGAGCUGAGGCGCGUGGGCGGAAACGACCCCUGGUCUCUGCUUUCUGCUUGAAAUGCUCGGCUCUGCACAUACCACAAGUUUUUUCAGAGGUUAGCCAGAUUUGCAUCUUUCUCCCCCAAGCUAGAGGAAGUGCUGGAGGAAGUCACGGAUUAAAAGAAUGGGGCGCAGGCUUAGGUUAGGGGCUCUUCUUGGCAGCUUUCCCUUUUAGCUAGAAACCCCAAUUACCUUUACGCUGUUAACCCUCGACGGCACGGGUCAGUGGUGUACCCACUUGGAGUUCAUUAUCUCAGAAAGCCCUUUCUCUCCCUUUAAACACGAGCUUUAAACUAAUCAGCUGCCGUUGUCCAGUGAUUCAGCUCCAGCUCCCUGGGGGGACACCAGCAAAUCACAGGACAGCUGCUCUUAACACGGAGAAUGUAGAGCUGCGCACAGGGUGUUGGGGGAAGGUCAUGGCCGUGGCACUGGAAGGGAGGGCCAGAGGAGAGAGGAGGUCUGGAUGGCCCUUUCGCUUUCGCCUUGGGAACGAGGAUGAGCCUGUCUUUGAUGCCUUGACUGGUUCUGCACUCUUUUCCUCCUGUCCUAAAUUCAGCGACGUGAUACGUAUUUAAGGAGUCGGCCAAACCUCAAAUUACACUGAGAACCGAGCCACUGCAAAGAAAGCGGUUCGAUUAUUGGCAUGAAACAACAGGACGCUGGCGCGUGGAGAAACCACUAGUAAAAGUGGAAGGAAAUGGCUUCGGAAGCUACGGUUACCUGUGUAAAGGAAGCUCAAGUACCUACCAUCCAUUUCUGAUCAAGCCUGAAAAGCUUGAAGAUAGUCCAAUGGAAUUACAAUGCAGAAAACAGAAGCAAAAUCAAUAUGAGGUAUUUAUGGACUGAAUGUUUGUGUGCCCCUCAAAUCCAUAUGGUAAAGCCUUAACCCCCAGGGUGGCCAAUUUGGAGUUUGAGCUUUGCAGGAAAUAAUUAAGGCUAAAUGAGGUCAUAAAGGCGGGACUCUGAUCCCAUAGGAUGAAUGUCGUCUUAAGAAGAAGGUCUAGAGAGCUCACUGUCUCUGCACACGAGUGUGCUCACAGACAGGGAAAGGCCAUGUGGGUACACAGUGAGAAGGCGUGCCAUCCAAAGCCCAAAGGGAAAGCUCUCAACCAGACACCAACCAUGCCAGCACCUUGAUCUUGGACUUCAGCCUGUGAAAAAUAAGCUUCUGUUGUUUAAGCCACCCAGUCUAUGGUAUUUUGUUAUGGCGGCCCCAGCUCUCUGGGUCCCCGCCUGCAGGCUAUCCCACACUCCCUACGGGCCAUCGCAUGGUCACUCUUGCCUGCCCUGGACUGGCCAGAGCAGCUCACGUGCUGGCUCAGAGACCCUCCGUCUCUUGCUCCUCCCUGUCUCUUGGCCCCAGGCAGAGAGAGGAAAAUGCCAUAAUGCCAUAAACGAGCUCUACAAAGACCUCCCUGUCCAAAAUGAAGAUGGGUUUUUAUUUGACAUCUCUGUCUGAAGCAGUUUCAUCUGGAUGACACCGCUGGCUUUUCCAAGAACCAGCCUCGUUGGGGAAAAGGGAGCAUCUCUCUAUCAGCCUUCUACCCUCGAAUGCAGAAGGCAAUGCAGCUUCUUUUUCCUUUAAUAAUAAGAAAAAUUUUAGACAUUUACAAAAUUGAUAGAAUAGUACAAGGAGUGCUCACAUACCCUUUACCUAGCCUGAACAAUUGCCAGCAUUGGCCUUGUUUGCUUUAUCUACAUACAUGUAGCUCUCUCUCUCUCUCUGUGUGUGUGUGUGUGUGUGUGUGUGUGUGCCUGUGUGUGUCUGUGUAUGUGUUUGACUGGUUCAUUUAAAAGUAAGUUUUACAGGAGCACCUGGAUGGCUCAGUCGGUUGAGCGGCCGACUUCAGCUCAGGCCAUGAUCUCACUGUGAGUUCAAGCCCCGUGUUGGGCUCUGUGCUGACAGCUCAGAGCCUGGAGCCUGCUUCAGAUUCUGUGUCUCCCUCUCUCUGCUCCUCCCCGCUCAAGCUCUCUCUCUCUUUCUCAAAAAUAAACAUUAAAUAUUUUUUAAAGUAAGUUGUACAAAUUGUGACACUUUAUCCCUAAACAUUACAGCUUGCACCCCCUAAGAAUAAGGACAUUUUACAAAUCACUACACCAUUAGCCUCUAGGGAAAGCAACAGUAUUUCCAUAAUACACACAACUUUUAAAAUAGCCCUUUCAUUGUUUCUGCUAUUCCGUCCUCACACCUGAGGCCACAAAACAGCAAGAGGUGUCAGUACUUGGGAAGGCCAGUGCCCAAUUCCCCCAACCACAUUGGGAAAUAAAGUUGCUAGGGUCUUAGGUGUAGGAUUAACUUAUGAUCAGAGCAGAGAUGGGUAAAGUUACCCAUCUGCAAGGGCUGCCAGAUCUUCAACAUAUGACUGGGUGUCCAGAUGAAAGGUAUUAACAUAUCUAAAGAAAAACCCUUUCUGGUCAGAAAAGGCCAGGAUCUGGAGCAAAGACCAGAUCCAGAAGCAAACGUUUCAGUGGCCAUCACGUGCCGUUAAGACUGCCUGCUCUCCUGGAUUGAACCAGACAUCUGGCUGUUUCAGCUUUCUGUCUGAUAAAACAAAAUGCUGCUUUUCAAAGGAAACCUGAAAAUGUCUAUGAAUGUCAAGAGGCUGUGAGUGGGAGCUCGGUGUUUCUGAUCCCUGCGUGGUGAGAGAGGCACAGAAUGGAUAUUCCAACUCGCUGGAGAUGCUCUCCCUGUGGCUCUAAAGUCAGAAGUAAAACUUGGUUUUCAGGGCAAGCUCUGUUCUGCUGUGCUCUCUGUCGGUCAUACGAUGUGAGAAAAGUGUAUGUUUAUGGGGUAGGUGGUAGUGCUGGGUAUAGGUGAGGCACCAAAUAUAAAUAUUAUAGAUAGGGCUGUUAGGUGUUCUGAGUUACAGUUUUCUCCCUGGGAGGUUUUGAAGGCAGCUUUUGUGGGGGCCCUGGAUGGGAGUCCAGGGACAGCAGGGAGGGGAGAGGCUCUCUGUUCUGAAGAUGUCACCUGGAUUUAACUGCACGGGUGGUGAUGGGUCAUAGACGUGGUGGCCGAUCAGUGUGGGGUUUUUUCACUUUUGGUUGUGCCUCACAAGCAAUCACUCCUACCCACCCCUUUUCAGAAGAAGGCCUGCAGGGCUCUUGGUUGUUGCCCCCAUCUUCCCCUCACCCAGACAGGAGAAGAGAUCUAGCUGGCCAGAGGUGGUGGCAGUGAGCAUGCGUGACUGGAAGGGAUGGGAGGAAGGCACUGCCAGGGUUUAUGGACGCCUGGGGGAAGCUGGGUGCCCAAAGGGGCCCGUUCGUUGUUUUACCUUCCAUUCAAACUCAAAAUUCAAACCAAUACUUAAAUCGUUAGGAACAAAAUUGUGCAACGUGGUUAGUUUGAGGAGUCUACUCAUUUGGCCAAUGGUCUAUUGACCCCUCAAGGAAGCCUCAGAAGCCAGUGAAUAAGAGCUGUGGAAGUGAAGCCCAGAAAGAUUUUUCUAGGACAUUUGCCAGCUACACAGCAUUGUCAGAAUAUGGUUGUAUUUCCAGGAAAAAAAAAAAAAAGCUGGUGGCAGGGAAUACCAUUAAUUAGUUAUUCCCGAGUGUCUUUGCAUCUUCUGGAGGAUUGUACUACACCCUACUUGGUCUGUUUGCUGUUUGGAAAUGGGGACAUGUGCCUCAGUGUGUGGGAUUCCUAUUAAACAUGAAAUUUGACCCCGCAAGUACUAUUGAAUCCCACAAGUAUUGUCCAUGUAGGAGUGGGCCUCAGCUAAUGGACUUCAAAUAUCCCAGUCCCAUUUGAAAGGCCCUCUCUGUAACAAGAAAGGUGAGCUGGCUCUCAUAGCAUGAUACCAUUUAACGUGGAGUGUUCUGAUUUCCCUUCAUUCAGAUUCCAUGCCGGAAAAACAACUCUUUUUAGCUGCCUGGGGCUAUUGUAACAAAGUACUACAAACUGGAUGGUUUCAAACACUAGAAACUUAUUUCUUUCACAGUUCUUGUGGCUGGAAGUCUGAAAUCAAGAUGUCUGCAGGGCCACACUCCCACCGAAAUGUGUAGGAGAGAAGGCUUCCUUGGCUCUUCUAGUUUCUGGUGUUUUCUGGCAAUCCUUGGUGUUCCUCGCUUCUAGAUGCAUCUCUCCAAUCUCUGCCCCUGUCGUCACAUGGCUGUGAUGUCUGUGUGUCUCUGUGUCUCUUCUUAUAAGGACACUAGUCAGAACGGACAGUCACCCUAUGACCUCAAUAUUAACUUAAUCAGACCUGCAAAGGCCCUAAGUCCCAAUCAGGUCAUGUUUACAAUGAAUGGGGGUUGGGCCUCAACGCAUGUCUUUGGGUGGUGGGGGGACUCAGUUAAACCCUUAGCUUAUGCUGUUGUGUCCAUGGAGACUCCCUUCUGGGAAAGUAUGUCUUUGUCAUACGUCCUUUAAGUAUUCCAAUUCCUGUGUCAAUGAUUUCUUAUUUUAAAAUUUCUACAUUUGACUUAGAGAAUGGUUUCGCUUUCCAUGUAGCUGGGCUGUAGGAAAAUAAGGCCCUGACUGACUAUAUGUGGACUGGGGUUUUCCAUUUCCAGAGAGAAUAAUGUCUCAGUGUGAGCUAAUAAACCGGCUUUCCACUUUGAUUCAUCUCAUGAUCUGUCUCUGCAAAGAGAGGAGCAAUUACCAUCUCUGUGCCAACAAAACCAAAUUUCUGAACUUCUAGAGGCUGAGGAAUAAACUUUGUGCUAAUUUACCAAGAUAACGACUAAUCAUAAGGAGCACAAGGCAGCUGUGGCAUCUGGGUAUUCCCCGGGCCAACGACCCAGUAUUACACUUGCCAUGUGGUCCCGCGUGAGGCCUGUUAUUUGUCUUGUUUUGGAUUUCCAAUAUAUGGGCUUUUGUUCUGUGUGAGGAAUAAGUAUUCCAAAGAGCGUUUGGUCCCCUUGGUAAAGCAAACAAAACUCCCAACCACAGACAAAAAGAGUUGAUUAAAACCAAGAAUGUUUCACAUCUUGUCUCAGAUUCAAACUUACUAAGAAAACAGAUAAUUUUUAAAGAAAAUUGGUAGGAUUGUUGGUAUAAUGAAGUAACCCAAUGCAUCAGUCAAAAGAAUCCUGAUCAUGGCAAAGUCUCAAAUCUCUGAGGUUAUGAAAUCAAAUUUCAGCAGAUUCAUUCUAGAGGACAGCGGGGUUUUCUUUUUCAAUUUUAAGUGAAUUAACUAGUGAGGAAAUGCAGUGCAGAUGUAUAACGUUUAUGACAGGCGGUGAAUCUGGCACCUUCCAUGGCAAUAAAACAGAGACACCUGCACCCUGUUCAGCUAAGGCAGAAGACACUGGCAUAAACAGUGGUUGUGUGAAGAUGAGGACCAGAUGACUGAUGGGGCUCUUUCAAGGGAGUGGCUGAGGUAGCAACUGACCAGAAGUGGGGGAGGUUAUUUAGUUGACCAGGGUCCAGAUGGCAGGCAGGCUUGCCUGAAGGGUAGCACUGUAGGGCAGUGGGGAGGAAAGGCAGGGUUAAGCUGACCUGGAGCAAAUCUCUCAGGACAGUGCUUCUCAGAUGCCAGUGUGCCCAAGAGAAUCACCGGGAGAGCUUUUUAAAAACACAGAUUCUGAUUCGGUACAUCUGGAGUGAGGCCCAUAUAUCUGCAUUUCUAUCAAGGUGAGGCAAAUGCUGCUGGUCUGUGAACCCCAUUGUGAGUAGCACAGUGCUAGAAAACACCUCAAAGCUGGGAGUCGCUACUGGAGUUAAUUUUCUGUGGAAACAGCGAGUCCUCAGAGAAAGAGGAGCUUGGGAAAGCAGUGUUAGGCUGUGUGUCUGUUAGCACGGUGCAGCUGCUAAUGGCAGGCAUCUGAGAGCCCAAUGUUAAUCACACCUAGCGAGUAGAAAGCUUAUAAGGGUUUCCCAGGGUUUUGCCAGUUGGGCAACGCCUCUCAGAAGGUAGAAAAGCCAGAUGGUUUUAAAUAGCUCGCUCUUAAAAAAAAAAAAAAAGUCUAUGGGGUGCCUGGGUGGCUCAGUCGGUUGAGCAGCCGACUUCGGCUCAGGUCAUGAUCUCAUGGUCUGUGAGUUCGAGCUCCGCGUCGGCCUCUAUGCUGACAGCUCAGAGCCUGGAGUCUGCUUCAGAUUCUGUGUCUCCCUCUCUCUCUGACCCUCCCCCGUUCAUGCUCUGUCUCUCUCUGUCUCAAAAAUAAAUAAUAAAACAUUAAAAAAAUUAAAAAAAAAAAAAAAACGUCUGGGGCACCUGGGUGGCUCAGUCAGUUAGGCGUCUGACUAUGGUUCUCGCCAUUCGUGACUUCGGGCCCCGCAUCAGGCUCUGUGCUGACAGCUCAGAGCCUGGAACCUGCUUUGGAUUCUGUGUCUCCCUCUGUCUGCCUCUCCCCUGCUUGCACUCUCUCCCUCUCUCUCUCUCUCAAAAAUAAAAUAAACAUUAAAAAAUUAUAUAUACAAAAACAAUGUCUGAGUUAGUUGGAUUCUAAGUUACAAGGACCUAUCAGGGAGCAUUAUUUUAUCAUCCCCUCAUUUGGCAUCUCCGAGUCAGUUAGCAUUAUUAUUAUUAUUAAAUAAUGAUGAAAGUUGUAACUACCCUUUACUGCAUGCCAACUGUGGGUCACAUGAGGUGCCCACCAUUUACAGUGGGGCCAUUCUCGUUAAACAUCUGUGGGCAUGUAGUAUUGUGCCAGGGUGUUUGGAGAAUCACAGGAUGACACGGUACCUCUCCUGGGAGUGUGAAUACUACUUAAACAUGUUGGAGAAAACCAGAAUUUUUCAUGUUAGAAUAAGCAUGCAAAUAUUACAGCAUAAAAGGCAGUCUUUCAUCCCCUUUGCUCUUACAAGGCAACAUUGAUACUCUUCCCAUCUAGUGGUAGGGUCUAUAUCUCUUCUCCAUGGACCUAAGUGGGCCUUUAUGACUAUACUAACAGAGUAUGGUAGAAAUGACACUGUGUGACUCCCGAGGCUAGGUCAUAAGAGUGCCAUGUUGGCUUGGGAUGCUCACCUUUGGAACCCAUCCACCAUGAUGACAGUAAGUCAAGUAGCCGAGGUAGAAGUCCAUGUGGAGAGGAACUGAGGCCCCCAGCUCUCAGCCCUGACCCCCCAUCCUACUGUCAGCACUAACUUUCCAGGCAUGAGAAUAUGGCAUCUGGGGAGUGAUUCUUCAGUCCCUACUCAAGUCCCCCCAGUUGCUAAUGUGUGAAGUAGAUAUGAGUGUUCCCCUGUAAGCCCUGUCCAGGUUAUACAUGUGUGAGGUAAAGAAAUGGUUGUUUUAAUCCACUUGGUUUUGGAGAAUCCACUUUGCUUGCAGAAAUAAGUAACUAGAUGGAUAGAGGCCGAUAGAUUGGCAGUUCUGUGAAGUGCCAUGGGAGUAGUGAUUUACAGGCCAGCCAGGCAGGAUCCCAGGCAGCCUGUAACCUUGUCACUCCUCUACCUAUGAACUAUGGAUAGAGGAGUACCGAAGCAUGUACCAGAGCACAGAAGAGGAGUGCACUGGGGUUGGAGGCCACUGAGGCAAAAAUAAGGAGAAAGUGUAUUCUCUACACUUGAAAGGGUCAAAAGGUCUUUUAAUGUUCUUGAAGACCAGUUUUCCCUAGGAAAGAAUUAAGUAAAAAAAAAAAAAAAAAAAAAAAAAUAAUAAUAAUAAUAAUAAAGAGGAAAUCCACUUGGAUUCACUUGAAAUAAAGCUGCUGGGAUGAAAUCAAUGUAAAAACAAGACUUGAGAAAUGGUAACCGUGGAGAGAAGAGAUCAAUCUUGGUAGAGGCUUGCAUUGCAAUGUAAAAAACAUGUUAGAAUCUAAAUGAAGCAAUUGCGGUCAUAAGCACUGGAUGUUAACUUUGACAGUGGAGGAAGCACACAAUUAGGAUGAUUCUGAUCCAAGCAAGGGGUUGCUGGAGGGCAGAAGGAUGGGGAGACCAAGAGUAUUUGCCAGAGAAAAACACUGCCUGGAGCAGGGAGGGCAGAGACUUGGAUGGAGACACAUUCAUUCAGGAACGUGGGAGACACAGCUCACACAAGACGUGGUCUGGGGGACAUCAUCCUUCCAUUAGCUGUAGGAACUCUCAGAACAAACCGUUUCAUCUCCUGAGCCAACGGCCUUAAAGCUUUAAGUAGCCUGAGUUCAAACUCUAAUGUGUAAAACACGACGUCAGAUGUGUCCCCUUGUUCUCUGGUCCCCUGUCCUUCUGGUGUCCCUCUUUGAAGGUCAGAGCCUGUUACUCUUACUGUGCCGUGAGCCCCACUGGAGGCAGGGAGGUAUCUCCUCCACACUGCGGAUGCUGGGAAACAGCUUGUUGAUUGCCUGGAUGAGUGCAAGCGUAUGGGAAGGAACCCAGCACCCACUGGUGGAGGGGAGCGCCUGCGGAAGGAGAGGGCAAUGGGUGUGCUGGGCUGGGAUACCAGGGGUGGGGAUGCCAGGAGGUCAAGUUUCAGGAAGUCCAAAGCCUUGCUUAAGACCUUCUAAGUCAAGUGCUGAUAAGACAGGAAGUCUAACCGGUCUUUUUCAGUUUCCCUCGCCCUCCUCUGGGGUGGGGGUGGGGGGUGCCUAUGAGCAGGAAAAUGACCCACAGAAGAGGAGGAGUUGAAAAAAUCCAGAUGACUCCCUAACUGGAGCCUGAAAGGGGCUGGGCCACCAUCCUGCAGAACCGCAUUCCACACCCUUCUAGGGCUGCCCAUUCCUUUUUGCCAGUCAGGGCUCUGGCCCUCCAGCUAGGCAGCCCUGGGUGCGGGCGGACAGGACAGCCUCUUGAUCCUGCGGCCUGCCUGCCACAUGCCCAGUCACCUCUGGUGACCCAGAGUCCCCGAUGGUGGGGAACCCCAGAUGUCGCUCUGAAAUCAGAACAUUUGCAAGCUAGGGACGACCCAGGCAGUGCGCCCCAACCCCUUUCUUUUAUAGCCAGGGGAAUCCAGGGAUCUGAAAUGCUAAGCAGCUUAUUCGAGGUGGUGGUGAGCGGGACAGGAGGUAACAUUUCCUCGCCCGGGUUUCCACCACAGCCCAUGCCAUCCAUGACUGCCUCCCUCCAGAGAGAACUUUGAUGGUCGCAGAGCAGGGUUCUCUGCCAUCUCCCUGCUUUGUCUCUGUUUACCCUCCCCAAGGUGGAAGGAAGUGGGUUUUCUACCCUCUUCAUCCCUGUGUUUAUCUCCAUCCUCCCCUGCAAGGCAGCGGUGUUUGGGGGGGGGGGGGGGUGGUGCGGGGAGGGGUGGGUAAACAUAAGUUCCCAUCGAAGUUUGGCUAUGAGAUAUCACCUGCAUGACAAAUAAGACUUGGUACAGUGGAGAUCCCUCUCUGUAGAAUGUGGGGAUCCUGGGUGCUGUGGGUUCAGUUGUGCUCUCCAAAAGAUAGAUUGAAGUCCUAACCCCAGGUACUUGUGAAUGGAAAUAGGGUCUUGGCAAACGUAAUGAAGAUGUAAGUUAAGGGGCACCCAGCUGGCUCAGUCGGUAAAGCAUAGGACUCUUGAUCUGAGGGUCAUGAAUUCAAGCCCCACUUUGGGCGUGGAGCCUACUUACUUAAAAAAUUAGGGCACCUGGGUGGCUCAGUCAGUUAAGUGUCAGAAUUUGGCUCAAGUCAUGAUCUCACGGUUUGUGGGUUCAAGCCCCACUUGGGGCCCUGACAGUUUGGAGCCUGAAGCCUGCUUCGGGUUCUGUGUCUCCCUCUCUGCCCCUCUCCUGCUCAUGCUCAUGCUCUGUCUCUCUCUCUCAAGAAUAAAUAAACAUUAAAACAAAAUUUUUUAAAAAGUGUUAACGUCUGUUUAAAAAAAAAGGUGUAAGUUAAGAUGAGGUUGUGCUGGAGUUGUGUGGACCAGUGCACAGGCCAAUGAAUAUUUUUCCUUUUUAAAAAUUGUUUAUUUACUUAUUUGGGGGGAAGGGGUAGAAAGCGAGAGCUAGAGUGAGAGAGAGAGAGAGAGAGAGAGAGAGAAUCCUAAGCAGUGUCUGUGCUGUAAGCAUGGAGCCCAACGUGGGGCUCAAACCCACAAAUCGGAAGAUUAUGACCUGAGCCUAAAUCAAGAGUUGGAUGCUUAACCGCCUAAGCCUCCCAGGCGCCCUAAUAUUUUUCCUUUUGUAAAAUUUAUUUUUCUUGAGUGACUUGUAAAAGCAGCUUUAUUGAGUUACAAUUGACAUAUGGUAAUGAAUUGCACGUGUAAGUAAAUACCCAGAAACAGUCACCCCAUCAAGACAGUGAGCAUAUACAUCACACUUGGAAAUUUCCUCUUGCAUCUAUAUUUUCUUAUUAGCUACUGAGACAGAACAGAUUGAUGAGUUGGGCUGCAGACGUGUAACAAGUUGAUUUAUACCUUCAUGGUUACUUCUCGAGGCAUCUCUAGUUUCUAAAAAGCCAGGAGGAAGGUGACAAAAUUUAAGGCUUUUCUACUAUGAAGUCUUAUUAAUCACCUAAAUUUCCAAUGAUUAAAUAUUUGACCUCAAGGGGCUUUUGAUAAGAUUAAUUGGAAGGCAUUUGCCGUAGAAAAUUUAUUUUGCUACACUGUAAAGCUUCUAGUGUCACAACAUCUGGUCCUGGGAAUUUGACUCAAAGAAUCAAGGACUCUUGGAAAAAAACAAACAGAACUUCCAAGGAAUUUUAGGAUUUCCUUUGUUUAUGAGCCAUAAUUCCAGGAGGAAGGAAAUGAACACUUAUUAAGUGCCUUCUAUAUGUCAAGCACUUUACAUAAAAUAAAUAAUUUAAUCCUCACAAAUAACCAGAGGCAGAGAGGGGAUUACCACCACGUUUACAAAAGGGGAAAUAGGAUCUGAGAGUCUAAGCGACUUGCCUGAGGUGACAUAGCAGGGGGCAUGAGCUGGAAUUAAAACCCAGAGCUCUACGAUUCGAUUCGAGACCAUCCUUUUCAUAUCAUGAAUUUACCCUCUGCUCCCCACCCCUGGACAGAUUGACUUAGAUAGACAUAGCUACACACACACAUAUAUGCAUACAUAGGAGGAUGUGCUAUAUGUUCCAUUUUUAAAACCUCCAGACGCACCCAGCUGACUCAGUUGGAAGACUGUGUGACUCUUGAUCUUGGGGUCGUGAGUUUGAGCCCCAGUUGGGU